RNAcentral lists this ribosomal RNA (597 nucleotides) under uncultured Photobacterium sp. RNAcentral describes it as "bacterial SSU rRNA". It matches the Rfam family "Bacterial small subunit ribosomal RNA", at positions 61 to 638 of the family's 1533-position model. Lineage: Bacteria; Pseudomonadati; Pseudomonadota; Gammaproteobacteria; Vibrionales; Vibrionaceae. The record is from RNAcentral.
GUCGAGCGGCAGCGACUUAACUGAACCUUCGGGGAACGUUAAGGGCGGCGAGCGGCGGACGGGUGAGUAAUGCCUGGGAAUAUGCCCUGAUGUGGGGGAUAACUAUUGGAAACGAUAGCUAAUACCGCAUAAUCUCUUCGGAGCAAAGAGGGGGACCUUCGGGCCUCUCGCGUCAGGAUUAGCCCAGGUGGGAUUAGCUUGUUGGUGAGGUAAUGGCUCACCAAGGCUACGAUCCCUAGCUGGUCUGAGAGGAUGAUCAGCCACACUGGAACUGAGACACGGUCCAGACUCCUACGGGAGGCAGCAGUGGGGAAUAUUGCACAAUGGGGGAAACCCUGAUGCAGCCAUGCCGCGUGUGUGAAGAAGGCCUUCGGGUUGUAAAGCACUUUCAGUAGGGAGGAAGGUAGUGUAGUUAACACCUGCAUUAUUUGACGUUACCUACAGAAGAAGCACCGGCUAACUCCGUGCCAGCAGCCGCGGUAAUACGGAGGUGCGAGCGUUAAUCGGAAUUACUGGGCGUAAAGCGCAUGCAGGCGGCCUGUUAAGUCAGAUGUGAAAGCCCGGGGCUUAACCUCGGAAUUGCAUUUGAAACUGGCA